CUUCAGCAAGUUCAAAGCAUCAUUACUCAGCAAUACAUGUCCAAGAAACAGUUGCCUUUGUUUUUGCAAAAGGGGAUAUGUAGCAUCACAAGGGUCAUCAAUGUAGGCAAAAACAUACUCGUAGAGUCACGGUCAAUCACUUUGAGUAAAUCUUCGUACAGAAUCUCAAGGGGAUGAAGUUCUCCGUUGAUGCCUAGAAUCAAGACCUUUUAAGCUGCUUGGCUCACAACAAUAUUACCUGUAUUCUUUAAAUUCUCUUCUAAGUGCCUCAAAUCUAUAGCUUGGCAAAGAGCGACGAGGUAGGUUGCAGACAUAAGCUUCAAUAUGUCUACAGCUUCAGCUGUUUUUCUAGCUGAGAUUAGUGCUAAUUGGGUCACAUCGUGGUUGUGUUGUUCUGCACUUUGUGCAUGACUUGUUACAGGGUUUGCUAGACACUGAAGCUCAGAACAAUAUGAAGCUUGGUAUCUCAUUGCUGUUGAUUCCAUAAUCCAAACUCAGACAGCGACCCACCGGAGAGAUUUGAAGGGAGCCCCGUAUUGUAGAAAGCAUAUUAACCAGCUCAGACAUCCUGAUCAAAAAUGAGUUAUCCCAUUGCAGCCAAAUGAGCCAAUGCUAAUCUUCUGUUGUCCAUUGAAACUCCUAUAGGAGCGAGUACCUUGAAAUUUGCUUAGGAUUGCCAAAUAUUUUUUAAUACUUUAUGGAUUUCCAAAUAUUUUAUUAAUACUUUAUGGAUUG
This 735-nucleotide long non-coding RNA is filed under the name Lupinus angustifolius (narrow-leaved blue lupine). RNAcentral's name for it is "long non-coding RNA (LANG_LNC001199)". The record is from RNAcentral. Lineage: Eukaryota; Viridiplantae; Streptophyta; Magnoliopsida; Fabales; Fabaceae.